CCGAGCUUCUCAGUAACCACCCACUCAUUCACACCACCCAGCUCCAGCAAGCCGAUGAACAUCGCCUUUGUUCGGUGAAACGACAUGACAUUCUCAAAGAGGAUCCAGAAUGGUAUGAAGUGGAUUGAACUGAAAGCAAAAAAAAGUAGUAACUAUAAUUAGGAACAUGAAACAUUCCUAUGUGGCAGUAAAAUAUUUGUUGUUAACAAAGCUUAAUUCACAUGCAAGCAUGGAAACCUUGUGUUUCUAAUGGCAUGUAGAAGUGUUAUUGUUGUUGGGACAUAAACCACUCCCCAAACAGGAACAGUGACCUCGGGGAUUAGGACCGAAAACGGGAUCACUACACAGUAGAGCAUGAAAGGUACCACAUGGGCAACAACCUUCCUCACAAAAAAGAAGCUGUAGAGCAAAUAAAACUUCCACCAAAAUGGUACCUCCUGCUCAAGAAAUAGAAGAAUAUAACAUGAUGUUACAUAGAUAUGUCCAAGAAACAAACAGUAAUUUACCUUAGUGAAUAAUAUUUCUGCUCCAACCUUCCGGAAUAAGUUUGCUGCUCCACAGGUCCACCGGUGUUGUUGAUGACGAUAUGUCUUCAGAUUGCUUGGAAGUUCACUUUUUACCUAUAAUUUCCAUGAUAAUUUACUUGCUAAACAU
RNAcentral lists this small RNA (654 nucleotides) under Oryza sativa Japonica Group (Japanese rice). Its description in RNAcentral is "sRNA Os06g0230301". Lineage: Eukaryota; Viridiplantae; Streptophyta; Magnoliopsida; Poales; Poaceae. The record is from RNAcentral.